CAGUCGCCACGGUAAUACGUAGGGUGCGAGCGUUAAUCGGAAUUACUGGGCGUAAAGCGUGCGCAGGCGGUUCGUUAAGACAGAUGUGAAAUCCCCGGGCUUAACCUGGGAACUGCAUUUGUGACUGGCGAGCUAGAGUAUGGCAGAGGGGGGUAGAAUUCCACGUGUAGCAGUGAAAUGCGUAGAGAUGUGGAGGAAUACCGAUGGCGGAGGCAGCCCCCUGGGCCAAUACUGACGCUCAUGCACGAAAGCGUGGGGAGCAAACAGGAUUAGAUACCCCGGUAGUCCCUGUCUCUUAUAC
RNAcentral lists this ribosomal RNA (301 nucleotides) under uncultured bacterium. RNAcentral describes it as "partial 16S ribosomal RNA". It matches the Rfam family "Bacterial small subunit ribosomal RNA", at positions 509 to 807 of the family's 1533-position model. The record is from RNAcentral.